AGUGAGCUUGCUUCUAGGAUGAGUGCCAUGAGCAGUGCAACAGAUAAUGCAUCUGAAUUGAAGAAGAAUCUAUCUAGAGUGUACAACAGACAGCGUCAGGCAAAGAUUACCGGAGAAAUAUUGGAGAUUGUUGCUGGAGCAGAUGCCUUGGUUUAAGCAUAUCCCCUGCAAUUGUGCUUCUCUGUAGGUACAAUAAUGAAGUCUAGACAAUUUUUAUUUUCUGCUUCUCAACCUCGUACAGACUUUGUGCACAAGAAGAGAACCACAUUAUAUUUUGUACACAAGGCCAGACCAAACCUAUAUUUGUAUGUCAAUUUUUUUCUGCUAUAUUUGUAAAACAUGAAUUAUUGAAAGCCUG
This 358-nucleotide unclassified non-coding RNA is filed under the name Hevea brasiliensis (rubber tree). Lineage: Eukaryota; Viridiplantae; Streptophyta; Magnoliopsida; Malpighiales; Euphorbiaceae. The record is from RNAcentral.